RNAcentral lists this long non-coding RNA (784 nucleotides) under Marmota monax (woodchuck). The record is from RNAcentral. Lineage: Eukaryota; Metazoa; Chordata; Mammalia; Rodentia; Sciuridae.
GUAACAGUUGUCACUUCGAUGCUUCACUGCCAACUCAAUUUCCAUUCUCCCGCUGAUAUAACAAAUAUUAUGUGACAUUUUAACUGAAAAUAUCUGUAAAUGGGCGUCUGAGUGUGGUGUGUUUCUUUAAAAGGGAAGGAAAACAAUUAUUAGCUUUUCAUUAUUCAUCUCGGAGGCAUGUUUGAUCAGUAAUUACUCCAAUUUUAUAUUUGGAAAAGAAUGAACCAGGGUCCCAUGAGGUCUUGGAUUUGGAGGUUCUAGGUUCCGAUCCAGCCUCUCCAGAUGAACCUCACAACUUUGGCUCAGCAAUCAGGAGCUUAUCCCAAAACUCUCCCACAGCAAAGGGAGCCCUGCCCCACCCUCCAUUGGCAUUGCUGCCCCACCCCUUCUUUUCCCAGUGUGCUCAUCUCUCUUAUGGGGUGGGCCUGAGAGAGAACAGAUAAAGCUCCUGUUCUCCACUAUGGCUACCUUUUAUGACACUCCCACCUGUCCAAAUAGCAGAUUCAUUCAGAGAGCAAGUCAGAAAUACCUCAUGAGCAGGAGGUGCACCUUGCAAAUCUAUUCUGGUGAGGACCUGAAUGAAAACCUUUUCCUCAGCCCCAUGGUGUCGCUUUCAAACAGGUAUCCUGCAGGGACCCCCACUUCCAGCCAUUUCAAGGUCACUUCCUGCCUUGACAGGAGAGGUACAUCUAGCAUAGGCAAUGCACACAUGAAGUAUUUCUCUACUGGUGUGAGUGUGCACACAAUGCUUAGUGCUCAGGAGGUUCUGGGCAGGGUAUGAGAC